UAGGGAAUCUUCGGCAAUGGACGAAAGUCUGACCGAGCAACGCCGCGUGAGUGAAGAAGGUUUUCGGAUCGUAAAACUCUGUUGGUAGAGAAGAACGUUGGUGAGAGUGGAAAAGCUCAUCAAGUGACGGUAACUACCCAGAAAGGGACGGCUAACUACGUGCCAGCAGCCGCGGUAAUACGUAGGUCCCCGAGCGUUGUCCGGAUUUAUUGGGCGUAAAGCGAGCGCAGG
RNAcentral lists this ribosomal RNA (231 nucleotides) under uncultured bacterium. RNAcentral describes it as "partial 16S ribosomal RNA". It matches the Rfam family "Bacterial small subunit ribosomal RNA", at positions 355 to 575 of the family's 1533-position model. The record is from RNAcentral.